CUACGGGUUGCUCCAGUGGGGAAUAUUGGACAAUGGGGGAAACCCUGAUGCAGCCAUGCCGCGUGUAUGAAGAAGGCCUUCGGGUUGUAAAGUACUUUCAGCGGGGAGGAAGGGAGUAAAGUUAAUACCUUUGCUCAUUGACGUUACCCGCAGAAGAAGCACCGGCUAACUCCGUGCCAGCAGCCGCGGUAAUACGGAGGGUGCAGGCGUUAAUCGGAAUUACUGGGCGUAAAGCGCACGCAGGCGGUUUGUUAAGUCAGAUGUGAAAUCCCCGGGCUCAACCUGGGAACUGCAUCUGAUACUGGCAAGCUUGAGUCUCGUAGAGGGGGGUAGAAUUCCAGGUGUAGCGGUGAAAUGCGUAGAGAUCUGGAGGAAUACCGGUGGCGAAGGCGGCCCCCUGGACGAAGACUGACGCUCAGGUGCGAAAGCGUGGGGAGCAAACAGGAUUAGAUACCCGCGUAGUC
RNAcentral lists this ribosomal RNA (464 nucleotides) under uncultured bacterium. RNAcentral's name for it is "partial 16S ribosomal RNA". It matches the Rfam family "Bacterial small subunit ribosomal RNA", at positions 339 to 795 of the family's 1533-position model. The record is from RNAcentral.